RNAcentral lists this unclassified non-coding RNA (609 nucleotides) under Dianella sandwicensis. Its description in RNAcentral is "partial external transcribed spacer". Lineage: Eukaryota; Viridiplantae; Streptophyta; Magnoliopsida; Asparagales; Asphodelaceae. The record is from RNAcentral.
CCGUGCUCGGCGGAGCUCCCGAGCCUGCGUCUUGCUGCCCCGUCGCAUGUUGCUUACUCGGAACCGUUUGGUCCCGGUGCAGCGGUGGCGGGCAUGUGAUCGCGGGCUCGGUUGUGGCCGUGUCGGCAUAUGAGUGGUUUUGGAUCCGAAUGUCCUGACGGGCUCCCUGCCUAUGUGCAGCCAACCGUCGGCGACGCGGUCCGUUCAUUUUCGUCGCCCGAGGGUCCUUUGAGUCUCGGUGCGUUGCUAAGUUGCCUGUGCGUAAAACCCCAUUUUAUGGGAACGACAUCUCGACCAUGCGCUCGACUCGCCCCAUCCUGCCUACAGGCACAGAGGGGCGGCACUACAUGCGAUCCUCAAGUUUUCCCCGGGAUGCGGGUGGUCAUGUUCGGCCGUCCGCACUCGGUGGGUGCUCGAGGCAUCGCAAGGACUUGCGGAAGCAGUGUAUGCGGAGAUCCCGUGGGCCGUGGCCUUCGGCCUCCUCUCGGUUGCGAUUCGGCUAUAAAAAAAAGUCGAUCCCGUUCGAAUGACUCUCGAGCCGCCGUAACCUCUCACCUCCCCUCCUGGGGAAGGCGCGGGGCACGACGACCGAUGUCAUCGAGGGCGUGC